CAGAUAACCUUACUUUCAGAUAACUUUACAGAUAAUGUUUACUUUCAGAUAACUUACUGGAAUAAGGCAGUUACAGCUGGGAGGUAUUGCCUGAUGGACAGAACAGCCAGGGCCUAGGGGAGGGGUGGCAGAGGCUCCAAGUGGCUGGCUCCCGAACAAUCAGGAGGCACCCCCCACUAGAGGAAGGGAGGGCCAAUGAGGAGGCUGGCCAAGUCGCCCCGGCCAUUCCUCCCUCAGGCGUCAUAGAAGACGGCCCUGUGAAUGUCUGAUCAGUACGCAGGCGUGCUGCAGGCCAUAGUCAAGUCGGUGGCCAGGGGGUGUGCGGAGCAGCUUUCCCAGCCCAGUCCUUCCAGUGUGGGAUUCCGGGCUUCCCCUCUGUGUGAUCGAAGUUCGGUUACCUCUGGCGGUGGCGACAAAUCAUGGCGGCCGCUGGGAGGAGCCUCGGAGAGAUCUGGAGGAGUGAUGGAGUUCCUGGGAAAGGCCACCAGGAAGAGUCCGAGUCCGGGAUGUCUUCAGGGCAGAAAAGGCCACGUUGACAGAAAUCAAGUGCGAGACGGAGCAGAAGGGACGGGAGAAAGGAGAAGCUGCUGCUGCUGUGGUUGCCCUCAUUUCGGCUAA
Molecule: long non-coding RNA, 618 nt
Filed under: Phascolarctos cinereus (koala)
Lineage: Eukaryota; Metazoa; Chordata; Mammalia; Diprotodontia; Phascolarctidae
Description: lncRNA (ENSPCIG00000016423.2)
Source: RNAcentral